This 497-nucleotide ribosomal RNA is filed under the name uncultured bacterium. Its description in RNAcentral is "partial 16S ribosomal RNA". It matches the Rfam family "Bacterial small subunit ribosomal RNA", at positions 28 to 507 of the family's 1533-position model. The record is from RNAcentral.
GACGAACGCUGGCGGCGUGCCUAAUACAUGCAAGUUGAGCGCUGAAGGUUGGUACUUGUACCAACUGGAUGAGCAGCGAACGGGUGAGUAACGCGUGGGGAAUUUGCCUUUGAGCGGGGGACAACAUUUGGAAACGAAUGCUAAUACCGCAUAAAAACUUUAAACACAAGUUUUAAGUUUGAAGGAUGCAAUUGCAUCACUCAAAGAUGAUCCCGCGUUGUAUUAGCUAGUUGGUGAGGUAAAGGCUCACCAAGGCGAUGAUACAUAGCCGACCUGAGAGGGUGAUCGGCCACAUUGGGACUGAGACACGGCCCAAACUCCUACGGGAGGCAGCAGUAGGGAAUCUUCGGCAAUGGACGAAAGUCUGACCGAGCAACGCCGCGUGAGUGAAGAAGGUUUUCGGAUCGUAAAACUCUGUUGGUAGAGAAGAACGUUGGUGAGAGUGGAAAGCUCAUCAAGUGACGGUAACUACCCAGAAAGGGACGGCUAACUACGUG